GGGCCCGCACAAGCGGUGGAGUAUGUGGUUUAAUUCGAAGCAACGCGAAGAACCUUACCUGGGCUUAACAUCCCUUGACAACCACAGAGAUGUGGCUUUGCCUUCGGGCACAAGGAGAUAGGUGCUGCAUGGCUGUCGUCAGCUCGUGUCGUAAGAUGUUGGGUUAAGUCCCGCAACGAGCGCAACCCCUGUCCUUAGUUACCACCAUUAAGUUGGGGACUCUAGGGAGACUGCCGGUGUUAAACCGGAGGAAGGCGGGGAUGACGUCAAGUCCUCAUGGCCCUUACGUCCAGGGCUACACACGUACUACAAUGGCAGAGACAAACCGAUGCUAAAUCGCGAGAUGGAGCUAAUCGGAAAAACACUGUCCCAGUCCGGAUUGAAGUCUGCAACUCGACUUCAUGAAGUUGGAAUCGCUAGUAAUCGCAGAUCAGCACGCUGCGGUGAAUACGUUCCCGGGCCUU
Molecule: ribosomal RNA, 464 nt
Filed under: uncultured bacterium
Lineage: Bacteria
Description: bacterial SSU rRNA
Rfam family: Bacterial small subunit ribosomal RNA
Source: RNAcentral